CUAUUUCCAUGCUUAUCCUGGGAUGCACUUGAUCUCUCCCCGCCUUACAUUAAAGUGUCCCUGUGCACCCUCAUUCAUCCCUUCCUUUGAGUUUUGUUAGAAGACCCAUCGCCAUGGAAACACAGCGACACGACCAUUUUAAAAAAUGCGGCUUUAUAUUGUCGCCGUUGGUGAAUGUCCCCUUUUGAAGUGAACUGAGAGUACGGCAGACUUAGCAAUGAGAUCUGAUGAGCGCUACAUACAGGCAAAGUGUGGGGCGGGGGGGGGUUCUUCUGACUAAUGGGAUAUUAAAUAUCCUGGAACAUGCAUUUUCAGCCUUGCACAGGCAGCUUCUAAAAGCCAAUAAUGCUCUCCGCUUCCUGUAUUUCAUUUCCAAAGGGGGCUCUAAUGACACAUGAAAUCAAUUCUCCUUUCCAUUGUCUGCAAAGCUCAGAAACACCAUCAGGAGAGGGGGGGAAAGAAAGAGUGAGAAGCGGGCAGAUCCGAAUAUUGUUCCUCUGUACAGAGACUGGGAAGGAGGUGGAACUCCUUAAUCAGAGGAAGUUGUUUAAAACAGCUGAAAAGUUGGAUGAAGCCCCUUUUCCUACUCCCUCCCCUGUUCUGGGGGUGUGCGCUUAACCUCUCUCCCUGGAACACUUUGGCACAAAUAGAUUUAUCUGUUCCUAGCUGGACAUUAGCCGUUCUCUUUUUUCCCAAACGCUGUUCUAACCUUGGAUCUUCUCUGCUGGUGCUGGGAAACAAGAAAACAGCCCCAGGCAUCUUUGCAUUUGGCCAUUUAAACCCAUUCAUUGGCACAUGCGGUGCGGCGGGGCAAGGUUAACCCAGCAGCAUUCCAAUGACAAGUGACAAGUAAAAAUCUCAAGGCUCCUACCUUUCCGAUUUGGUGAAUUUUUUGAAUGCCUGCCGGGUGAGAUCAUGGUAAGAUCUAAAGCUCUGAGGUUCUGCUGAGAUGCCCUGCGCCCUGGUGGUCCUUGGUCCAAUGUGGCUAGUGCUGGGCAUUGCCAAAACAGACUGAUAUUUGUGAAGUUUCCUCUUUAGUUCCUGGAUUUCUUUUUCCUUCUCCGACAGACGAUUUUCCAGAUCCCUGAUCCUCUCCUCCUUCAGCAUGAGGAUCCUGGCGAAGUCCUCUUCUAGAUCACUCAUCCUUGCGCUCCUGGUGCUCCCAACUUGCCGACUUGCCCCUUGACAGAUCCAAAGAGUAGAGGAGGAAAAAGAUGAAUGAAAUCUCUCCUGAAUGAAGACUUGGGUGCCUGCUGCUGAACUUUCUCCCUAAUGCACUGAAAAUGGAAAGAAGGAGGGUGGGCUGUCUGAAAAGGAGCACUGGUGGAUGAUGAGAGCUAAUCCAGUGUCCCUUCUGGGAACAGAUGAUUAUCUUUCAUUGAGAAACCAAUUAGAGCUGCUUGUUUCCACCACCCCCCCACCACCACCACCCCAGGAUCAAUCCAUAGAAAGCAAGUGUCAGCCUCCCCUGCUGGGCUACUCAGAUGUGUGAUCACAGGCAGCCCUGUCCUCAUCCAACCAUCAUCACAACUCCACCACUAAGUGGCCAGCAGAAGAGAAUGAAAAAGAAGAGCUUUGUGACACUCACUCCAAGUCUUCCUGCCCAAAAUAGAAACAAUUACCAUGUGAUGGUAAAAGGCUGACGCAGCUCCCUGUAACUGGAUCCUGGGACUAUGAAAUCAGAAGAAAACACUUCAUAUAGAUACAGUAUCAAGGCAAUUGGGAUUCUGGAGCUUGUCGCCUAGGCUGGCUCUCUGAUAAGGAGGUCUCUCCGCACAGCUCAUCCAUCAGAGCAGGCAGAAGCCGCCAGCAAGGAGCAUGGAUAGAGGGGCUGGAGCUGGAAUGCACAGGCGUGGGGCACUGUUUUUAGCACUUAUCAAUUCUAAAAUGGGUCCCCUGCCAUACCACCCUAAACAAGCACCCUACUUGUGUCUCUGUCUCUCAGGGAUCCUGGGGUUAGGUAUCCUAGCACUCACCUUUUUAGAAUUGCCUCUUUAGGUCCUGUAAUGCCUGCGGAUAUAUUCUAGGAGAUCUUUGGAGUAACAGGUCUCUCACUGCUGCAGUGCUGAUUUGUCCCCAGAAACAUUACCGUUAGUGCUGACGCCAGGAUUUGAUGGGGUCCUAUGGAUUACAAGAUGAAGACUUUACCAUCACCCUAAAAUAAAGCUAAUAAAGGGCCCAACGUUCAGUCGUCGUGCAGGUGUGGGAAUGGGAAUAGGGACCUAGCGGGGACUGGGAGUUUGGGUGCUUGCCAGUACAUAAAGCUCCGGUGAAGUUCCCUGUAUUUUUCCAGGAAGGGAGUAGAGGAAGUCACAGGAGUAUCAGGAAAAAAUAAGCACAAAAAUGGACAAAAUACUUUUUUUUUAAUAAAACCGAAUCAGUGUAA
Molecule: long non-coding RNA, 2386 nt
Organism: Xenopus tropicalis (tropical clawed frog)
Lineage: Eukaryota; Metazoa; Chordata; Amphibia; Anura; Pipidae
Exons: 2
Source: RefSeq, a predicted model, not a curated record